GGUUAAGUGACUAAGCGUACACGGUGGAUGCCUAGGCAGUCAGAGGCGAUGAAGGGCGUGCUAAUCUGCGAAAAGCGUCGGUAAGGUGAUAUGAACCGUUACAACCGGCGAUACCCGAAUGGGGAAACCCAGUGUGUUUCGACACACUAUCAUGUCAUGAAUACAUAGUGGCAUGAGGCGAACCGGGGGAACUGAAACAUCUAAGUACCCCGAGGAAAAGAAAUCAACCGAGAUUCCCCCAGUAGCGGCGAGCGAACGGGGAGGAGCCCAGAACCUGAAUCGGUUUGUGUGUUAGUGGAAGCGUCUGGAAAGUCGCGCAGUAAAGGGUGAUAGCCCCGUACACUAAAAUGCACAGGUCGUGAGUUCGAUGAGUAGGGCGGGACACGUGACAUCCUGUCUGAAUAUGGGGGGACCAUCCUCCAAGGCUAAAUACUCCUGACUGACCGAUAGUGAACCAGUACCGUGAGGGAAAGGCGAAAAGAACCCCGGCGAGGGGAGUGAAAUAGAACCUGAAACCGUGUACGUACAAGCAGUGGGAGCACCUUCGUGGUGUGACUGCGUACCUUUUGUAUAAUGGGUCAGCGACUUAUAUUUUGUAGCAAGGUUAACCGUAUAGGGGAGCCGUAGGGAAACCGAGUCUUAACUGGGCGAAUAGUUGCAAGGUAUAGACCCGAAACCCGGUGAUCUAGCCAUGGGCAGGUUGAAGGUUGGGUAACACUAACUGGAGGACCGAACCGACUAAUGUUGAAAAAUUAGCGGAUGACUUGUGGCUGGGGGUGAAAGGCCAAUCAAACCGGGAGAUAGCUGGUUCUCCCCGAAAGCUAUUUAGGUAGCGCCUCGUGAACUCAUCUUCGGGGGUAGAGCACUGUUUCGGCUAGGGGGCCAUCCCGGCUUACCAAACCGAUGCAAACUCCGAAUACCGAAGAAUGUUAUCACGGGAGACACACGGCGGGUGCUAACGUCCGUCGUGAAGAGGGAAACAACCCAGACCGCCAGCUAAGGUCCCAAAGUCAUGGUUAAGUGGGAAACGAUGUGGGAAGGCAUAGACAGCCAGGAUGUUGGCUUAGAAGCAGCCAUCAUUUAAAGAAAGCGUAAUAGCUCACUGGUCGAGUCGGCCUGCGCGGAAGAUGUAACGGGGCUAAACCAUGCACCGAAGCUGCGGCAGCGACGCUUAGGCGUUGUUGGGUAGGGGAGCGUUCUGUAAGCCGUUGAAGGUGGCCUGUGAGGGUUGCUGGAGGUAUCAGAAGUGCGAAUGCUGACAUAAGUAACGAUAAAGCGGGUGAAAAGCCCGCUCGCCGGAAGACCAAGGGUUCCUGUCCAACGUUAAUCGGGGCAGGGUGAGUCGACCCCUAAGGCGAGGCUGAAAAGCGUAGUCGAUGGGAAACAGGUUAAUAUUCCUGUACUUGGUGUUACUGCGAAGGGGGGACGGAGAAGGCUAGGCUAGCCGGGCGACGGUUGUCCCGGUUUAAGCGUGUAGGGGGUGUGACCUGGUAAAUCCGGUU
RNAcentral lists this ribosomal RNA (1502 nucleotides) under Serratia marcescens. RNAcentral's name for it is "partial 23S ribosomal RNA". It matches the Rfam family "Bacterial large subunit ribosomal RNA", at positions 1 to 1547 of the family's 2925-position model. Lineage: Bacteria; Pseudomonadati; Pseudomonadota; Gammaproteobacteria; Enterobacterales; Yersiniaceae. The record is from RNAcentral.